CUCAUAGCGUAUAUUUAAGUUGUUGCAGUUAAAAAGCUCGUAGUUGGAUUUCGGGCCCAGGCGGCGCGGUGCCGCCGUUUCGGUGUGCACUGGUCGGCUCGGUCUUUCUGCCGGGGACGCGCUCCGUCUUGACUGCCGGACGCGGAGUCGGCGACGUUACUUUGAAAAAAUUAGAGUGUUCAAAGCAGGCUUACGCUCUGAAUACUAUAGCAUGGAAUAACACGAUAGGACUCCGAGCCUAUUUUGUUGGUCUUCGGGACCGGAGUAAUGAUUAAGAGGGACAGUUGGGGGCAUUCGUAUUACGGUGUCAGAGGUGAAAUUCUUGGAUUUCCGUAAGACGAACUUCUGCGAAAGCAUUUGCCAAGGAUGUUUUCAUUAAUCAAGAACGAAAGUUGGGGGCUCGAAGAUGAUCAGAUACCGUCGUAGUCUCAACCAUAAACGAUGCCGACUAGGGAUUGGAGGAUGUUAAUUCGAUGACUUCUCCAGCACCUUAAGAGAAAUCAAAGUUUUUGGGUUCCGGGGGGAGUAUGGUCGCAAGGCUGAAACUUAAAGGAAUUGACGGAAGGGCACCACCAGGCGUGGAGCCUGCGGCUUAAUUUGACUCAACACGGGGAAACUUACCAGGUCCAGACAUAGUAAGGAUUGACAGAUUGAGAGCUCUUUCUUGAUUCUAUGG
RNAcentral lists this ribosomal RNA (676 nucleotides) under uncultured eukaryote. Its description in RNAcentral is "SSU rRNA". It matches the Rfam family "Eukaryotic small subunit ribosomal RNA", at positions 591 to 1273 of the family's 1831-position model. The record is from RNAcentral.